CGUAAUUUAACAGUAAUAAUUCCUGUGCUUUUUUACGGAAGAAUUCAAUUAUCUUAUAAUUACGGAGCUUUUUCAGUAAAUUCAAACUGUGCGCGUGCGUAGUGUGUGAAAGCGACCAACGGUCGCUCUCUCCUCAACACACAAUUUCAUCUUCUCACCCUCUUUAUUGCAGUGGCACCUCUGUGGUAAAUAUCAUCCAUUUUUGUUCGCGUAGGUAAACUUGUAACUAAAAGACUACCAGCUAGUAUCACAAAGAUAAAUAAUCCCAUUUAGCGAAUUUAAUAUAGACAACGAAUUAACGUUAACCUACGAUGGCUGUGGGUUAGCGUUAGCUGUAGUCUAAAGCUUGCCACAGAUUUUCUGGACAGGCUAACUUUAGUGUUAGCGUUAGUGCUACUGUCGCUUCUUUGGUAGCUAAAUAUCGACGUAGUUUUGACACCGAUAAUCUUUGCUGCAAUGAAAGACUGAAAACAUGUGCAUUUUUACAUUCGAGGAGAAAAAACGUUCCCCAGAAUGGGCAGACUAAAAGCUAACAAGCUAGCUAACCCUAGAUACAGCUCAUCCAGCAGUAUCAGCUAGCGUUAGCUAAGUUACCUCAGGUCAGAGAACACCAACGGGACAAAUAGGAACAAAGACUGGCAGUCUGAUGUUUUCAUUUGUCCUUAAAUAUUCAAAAAAGACCUGACAAGCAAAAUAAACUGUGGUGAACGGGGAGAGAACACUCUAGAAUCUUUAAACUACCAAGCAUGGACAUGGCACACAAGCUGAACAUUUGUGUUUGCUGGUGUUUGUCCUGUCUGUGUACUCUGCACUGUACUCAAAUGGCCUGCUUGUUGUGUUGCGUUAUAAUGUGGGAGAGUUAAGGUUAGGGCAUAUACUCUCCAUUGUCAUUACAGAGGACAAGACAAUGUUUUUUAUGCUGAGAGAAAAAGUAGCUGAACUUAUUCCUAGCCUUGAAAUCUAUGAAAUUAAGGACAGUAUGAAUAAUAUUACAGGUCCAAAGCUAGAUGGUCUUGCAGAGUAUGUCCCUCACAAAUGUUUCCAUAGAGGUGCCAAAAUCUUUUUUCCACUUAAGCAUCGUUAUGUCGCUAUGGAUGCCAUCCAAGGUUUAAUCAGUGGAGCUCUGCCAUUGCUUGUGGGGAACCUCCUUGAUAAAGUGAUUGAAAGACUACAAGAAAUUGGUGUUUCCCAAAUCGAUGACCUAAAUUUGGUACAAUCGAAGAUCUUGAAGGUGUCCUGAAGCCAAUACAGUGUCGCAGGCUGAUUAAAGCAUUCUCUGCCGUGCAGUUUUGAGAUUGUGAAACCAAGUAAACCUUGCAGAAGAGCGCUCUAAAAAGGCCAAGUGGUGAAAGACUUCAUUCGAACAAGAGAAGCAAGUGCUGGUGAAAAGAUGAACCAAGGACCUUUGGAAAUGCUAAGAUGCCUCACAAGUUACUUCAAGGAAGCAACUGUCCUGUUGGUUGCAGACAAGGAUGGCCAGAAAGAACUACCCAGCACUCCUUGCAUCAUUGUCAUUGGGUCUCCUGGGGAUCAACACUGAACGUGGCUCAAAAGCUGAAUCGAAGUGCAAGAAGCACUUCAAAAUCAAUCCUAAGCUUCUGAAAUUCCUGAAGGACCUCAGUGACUUUCAGAAUCCAUUCAAAAUUUAAAUGGACAAGGCAUUUGGAGCCCUCAGAUGCUGCACAAUGGACUCAUUUAACAAUUUGAAAUGAAGUGUUAGGAUGAGAAGUCCUAAGUUCUGUGGUGUUUACAACAUUUUUUUAAUGUUGAAUUGUUAAUGGAAAAAAAUACAUGUUUGUUUUGGACACAACACUUUAAAUAUGCAGGAGGUAGAGUUUUUAUAUGUAGGGCUUAUAAUAUAUGCUGUUUUGAAUAACAGUCGUUGACCAGCAUUGUUCUCAUGCCAAAUUUGUUUCAGUAAAUUUAUUGCAUGAGAUAUAAGCACCCAGUAAGCUAUAUUAGCAGUAUAUAAAAAAGUGUUAAUACUAUACUUGCUCCUACACAUUUUUUAAAUUUAAGUGUUUUUUUUUGCUUUUCAUAAAGGAGCUACAAGUUACCAGAUCAGUAGACAUGCCUACUAUGUCCCUGUGCCCAUCGACCCAUCUAUCAGGCAAAUGUGCUGUAUAUAGGUACACUUUGUAGAUUUACAGUUACAUACUACAGGGAGAAAAAUACACUCUCCAAGUUAUGUCAUUCCUGCGGUUUCUUUCCAGUGGUGAAUGGGUUGGGUGAUAUGGUGUUCUUUUGUGUACUGAUGAUAUCCACCAUAUGCUGAAGAGCAUAUUGUUACAUUGACAAUUUAUGACAGGUAACUGGACUGUCAAAUGAACUGCAGUCAGUAACUGUAAGCAUGCAAAGUGCAACUAAAUGGGAAGUAUUUCCAAUUAGAUGCUCAAUGACUGUUGUUGAAUAAAUUGGCAAGGAAGAUGUUGAUGUUAACUUUAUCUGUAUUGAACUGAAAUCAGUGUUGGAAGGCUUGUACUGACACAAUGCAGUGUUUAGAUCUUAUUUCAAUAUUUGCCUGUUUGCAUCCCUGUAAUAAACAGCAACAAUGAAUUUA
This is a long non-coding RNA of Pygocentrus nattereri (red-bellied piranha), 2560 nucleotides long. RefSeq lists it as uncharacterized. NCBI's taxonomy places the organism in Eukaryota, Metazoa, Chordata, Actinopteri, Characiformes, Serrasalmidae. The transcript is spliced from 5 exons. The record is from RefSeq and is a predicted model, not a curated record.